Molecule: long non-coding RNA, 1072 nt
Filed under: Brachypodium distachyon (stiff brome)
Lineage: Eukaryota; Viridiplantae; Streptophyta; Magnoliopsida; Poales; Poaceae
Description: long non-coding RNA (BDIS_LNC003958)
Source: RNAcentral
GUACUUGCUUCAUUAGACAGUUCAAACCAGCUGGCCGCGUAAUCUGGACAAAUACAGGAAUGCAUCCGCAAUCAGUGCGAUGUGGGGCGGCGCAAUCCAAAAUAGGCCGGUGCAAAACUGUAAUCUUUAAAACACGGCAAAAUAUUUUCAAACCGCGUAUCACUACUACCCAUUCCAUGUGCGUCAUUUACUAUUUGCAUUUUCCGUCCAGCUGAUCUCCCUUUUCCCCUUGCCGUACUCCAGCGCCCUGCUUUCACCUAGUCAGUCGUUGCCUUCUUCCCCAGAUCAUCAUCAUCUUCCUCGAGUCCAUCCACCCAGCCACGGACGCAGAGAGACCCGGCGAUGGAUCCCCCGCCCGCUCAGACGAUGUCCGCGACCGAAGACCUCCAGGACAAGAGCGUCGACGAGUGGUACGUACCCGCGCUCGAUCCCGUCCGUCGUAUUAUCCUUUCCUCUCUCCGCUCUGCUCUGGUUGCUCUUCGAUUGAUCUGUUUGUGGUUGUGUCCACCGAAUGAUUCGUCUCAAUUUGCAGCUGCUCUUGCUGCUACGACUGCUGCUCCAGCAUCCUGGACUUCCUGUGCUGCGCUUGAAUCUAGAAUUCCGAUGCGGCUCCUCGAUCGCUGACGUUCCCCGCGGCUUCAGAUGGAACCGCGGAGAGGGCCCUCAGUUAAAAAUCCUGGGUCUAAUUUAGAUGUUCCGAGUUUUCAGAUUAUUACUGAUAUAUAGGUCUUGGGUAAUCUUUGUGAGUUGAAACUCUAAUGAACUUCACCAUAGUAGGUAAGGAGAUUUAUGGAUUAACUGAUGGACUCUAUAUUUCGAUGCAGUUGCCUGUUAUUAUGUUACAGGAAUUAUAUUAAGUGUGUGCAGAUCGAUUGGACAAGGAUAGCACUAGCCAUUCCUGUUAUUUCGAUCGAAUUUGAAAUCUCCCAUCGUAGCUAGAGACGGUUCCUGACUUCCUCAGUCCAUGAGACCAUGACUGGAUGGUCGACAUUGACGCCCUGCAUCGGGCUGAAGGCUGAAAUCAUGGCACCUGAAAUCAGCAGUGUAUUAGGGAGUGGAACGUUGAUUCGGA